This 184-nucleotide ribosomal RNA is filed under the name uncultured rumen bacterium. RNAcentral describes it as "partial 16S ribosomal RNA". It matches the Rfam family "Bacterial small subunit ribosomal RNA", at positions 340 to 524 of the family's 1533-position model. The record is from RNAcentral.
UACGGGAGGCAGCAGUAGGGAAUCUUUCACAAUGGGCGAAAGCCUGAUGGAGCAACGCCGCGUGCAGGAUGACGGCCUUCGGGUUGUAAACUGCUUUUAUGCAGGGAUAAAGUGUGGGACGUGUCCCAUAUUGUAGGCCCCAUGAAUAAGGACCGGCUAAUUCCGUGCCAGCAGCCGCGGUAAU